UGACGUCUCUAGAAGACAUCUAGGAAAAGAGAAUUAAAGUAUUUAUCGGUGAUGGAGUGGGGAUGCGUCUGAUUAGCUUGUGGCGGGUAACGGCCCACCAAGGCGACGAUCAGUAGGGGUUCUGAGAGGAAGGUCCCCCACAUUGGAACUGAGACACGGUCCAAACUCCUACGGGAGGCAGCAGUGAGGAAUAUUGGUCAAUGGGCGAGAGCCUGAACCAGCCAAGUAGCGUGCAGGAUGACGGCCCUAUGGGUUGUAAACUGCUUUUAUAAGGGAAUAAAAGGCGGUACGUGUACCGCGUAUUGUAUGUACCAUCAGAAAAGGACCGGCUAAUUCCGUG
Molecule: ribosomal RNA, 340 nt
Filed under: uncultured bacterium
Lineage: Bacteria
Description: bacterial SSU rRNA
Rfam family: Bacterial small subunit ribosomal RNA
Source: RNAcentral